UACUCCUACGGGAGGCAGCAGUGGGGAAUAUUGCACAAUGGGCGCAAGCCUGAUGCAGCCAUGCCGCGUGUGUGAAGAAGGCCUUCGGGUUGUAAAGCACUUUCAGCGAGGAGGAAGGGUAGUGUGUUAAUAGCACAUUGCAUUGACGUUACUCGCAGAAGAAGCACCGGCUAACUCCGUGCCAGCAGCCGCGGUAAUACGGAGGGUGCAAGCGUUAAUCGGAAUUACUGGGCGUAAAGCGCACGCAGGCGGUUUGUUAAGUCAGAUGUGAAAUCCCCGCGCUUAACGUGGGAACUGCAUUUGAAACUGGCAAGCUAGAGUCUUGUAGAGGGGGGUAGAAUUCCAGGUGUAGCGGUGAAAUGCGUAGAGAUCUGGAGGAAUACCGGUGGCGAAGGCGGCCCCCUGGACAAAGACUGAC
Molecule: ribosomal RNA, 418 nt
Filed under: uncultured bacterium
Lineage: Bacteria
Description: bacterial SSU rRNA
Rfam family: Bacterial small subunit ribosomal RNA
Source: RNAcentral